This 253-nucleotide ribosomal RNA is filed under the name uncultured bacterium. RNAcentral's name for it is "partial 16S ribosomal RNA". It matches the Rfam family "Bacterial small subunit ribosomal RNA", at positions 524 to 776 of the family's 1533-position model. The record is from RNAcentral.
UACGUAGGGUGCAAGCGUUAAUCGGAAUUACUGGGCGUAAAGCGUGCGCAGGCGGCUAUGCAAGACAGAUGUGAAAUCCCCGGGCUCAACCUGGGAACUGCAUUUGUGACUGUAGAGCUGGAGUACGGUAGAGGGGGAUGGAAUUCCGCGUGUAGCAGUGAAAUGCGUAGAUAUGCGGAGGAACACCGAUGGCGAAGGCAAUCCCCUGGACCUGUACUGACGCUCAUGCACGAAAGCGUGGGGAGCAAACAGG